GAUUGCUUUUCGUUGUCCUUUUGAUAGAAGUUUCAGCUAAUUGAAACCACGGGGUGUGAUUCUUCAUCUUUUCUACAUAAACAAUUUUAGUGGGAACAAAUAUGGGCGAUGUUAUAGUAUGGGAGGUGGGCAGCCGUGCAAGGAUCACUCUAAGAAAUUUCAAGGUUUGGGAUCUAGGAUCAUGUUCAGUGACGCUGCAUGUAUAGAAGUUCAAUUCUAAAUAAAAUCAAACUAUUCUGUUUUUGGCCAUGUGAUUGUGGGUUUUGAUUCUUUGUAGGCAUCUCUGGCCAAUGCUUAUAUAGCAUCAGUCAACCGUGUAAUGUGGAGUCCCAAUGGAACCCUUUUUGGUGUUGCUUAUUCCAAACACAUGGUGCACAUAUACUCAUAUCAUGGCAGUGAUGACAUAAGGAACCACCUUGAGAUCGAGGCUCAUGUUGGAAGUGUUAAUGAUCUUGGUUUUUCAUGUCCAAACAAACAGUUAUGUGUUGUUACUUGUGGAGAUGACUAGUUGAUUAAGGUAUAUUCUGAUUGUUUUGCUUAGUGUCAUAGGUUGUGCUGUUUGACUCUUUUUACCCAAGCUAGUAGUUAUGCAGGUGUGGGAUGCAGCGACUGGGGCUAAGCAGCACAGUUUCAAGGGUCAUGAAGCACCUAUAUA
Long non-coding RNA from Eucalyptus grandis, 655 nucleotides. RefSeq lists it as uncharacterized. The transcript is spliced from 3 exons. The record is from RefSeq and is a predicted model, not a curated record. Lineage: Eukaryota; Viridiplantae; Streptophyta; Magnoliopsida; Myrtales; Myrtaceae.